Molecule: ribosomal RNA, 800 nt
Filed under: Salmonella enterica subsp. enterica serovar Paratyphi B var. L(+) tartrate +
Lineage: Bacteria; Pseudomonadati; Pseudomonadota; Gammaproteobacteria; Enterobacterales; Enterobacteriaceae
Description: partial 23S ribosomal RNA
Rfam family: Bacterial large subunit ribosomal RNA
Source: RNAcentral
GAAUAUGGGGGGACCAUCCUCCAAGGCUAAAUACUCCUGACUGACCGAUAGUGAACCAGUACCGUGAGGGAAAGGCGAAAAGAACCCCGGCGAGGGGAGUGAAAAAGAACCUGAAACCGUGUACGUACAAGCAGUGGGAGCACAGGUUUACCUGUGUGACUGCGUACCUUUUGUAUAAUGGGUCAGCGACUUAUAUUCUGUAGCAAGGUUAACCGUAUAGGGGAGCCGUAGGGAAACCGAGUCUUAACCGGGCGUUAAGUUGCAGGGUAUAGACCCGAAACCCGGUGAUCUAGCCAUGGGCAGGUUGAAGGUUGGGUAACACUAACUGGAGGACCGAACCGACUAAUGUUGAAAAAUUAGCGGAUGACCUGUGGCUGGGGGUGAAAGGCCAAUCAAACCGGGAGAUAGCUGGUUCUCCCCGAAAGCUAUUUAGGUAGCGCCUCGUGAAUUCAUCUCCGGGGGUAGAGCACUGUUUCGGCUAGGGGGCCAUCCCGGCUUACCAACCCGAUGCAAACUGCGAAUACCGGAGAAUGUUAUCACGGGAGACACACGGCGGGUGCUAACGUCCGUCGUGAAGAGGGAAACAACCCAGACCGCCAGCUAAGGUCCCAAAGUCAUGGUUAAGUGGGAAACGAUGUGGGAAGGCCCAGACAGCCAGGAUGUUGGCUUAGAAGCAGCCAUCAUUUAAAGAAAGCGUAAUAGCUCACUGGUCGAGUCGGCCUGCGCGGAAGAUGUAACGGGGCUAAACCAUGCACCGAAGCUGCGGCAGCGACGCUUAUGCGUUGUUGGGUAGGGGAGCG